Molecule: small RNA, 793 nt
Filed under: Pan troglodytes (chimpanzee)
Lineage: Eukaryota; Metazoa; Chordata; Mammalia; Primates; Hominidae
Description: processed transcript
Source: RNAcentral
GGCAGGCUUCCCUUUAUACCUGCACUGACUUUUUUCUCCUUUUGGAGGGAGAGCAGAGACCAUGUCUGACAUAGAAGAGGUGGUGGAAGAGUACGAGGAGGAGUGAGUAUCUGGAGCAUCUUGCCUGAGUGGGGUCCUCUCCCCCCGCUGCCCUGACACCUGGUCCAGGAGCCUCCCAGCUGUCCCUAGGAUUCUGGGGAGCAGGAAGGUAAGCGUAAACGUGUGUACUCAUUUGGAUCAAAGACAGCCUGGUUCGAAACUGACCCACCUCUUCUCUCUUCUCUUGCUGCCUGGACUUCUCUUCUGAGCAGAAGCAGCUGUUGAAGAGCAGGAGGAGGCAGCGGAAGAGGAUGCUGAAGCAGAGGCUGAGAUCGAGGAGACCAGGGCAGAAGAUGAAGAAGAAGAGGAAGCAAAGGAGGCUGAAGAUGGCCCAAUGGAGGAGUCCAAACCAAAGCCCAGGUCGUUCAUGCCCAACUUGGUGCCUCCCAAGAUCCCCGAUGGAGAGAGAGUGGACUUUGAUGACAUCCACCGGAAGCGCAUGGAGAAGGACCUGAAUGAGUUGCAGGCGCUGAUCGAGGCUCACUUUGAGAACAGGAAGAAAGAGGAGGAGGAGCUCGUUUCUCUCAAAGACAGGAUCGAGAGACGCCGGGCAGAGCGGGCCGAGCAGCAGCGCAUCCGGAAUGAGCGGGAGAAGGAGCGGCAGAACCGCCUGGCUGAAGAGAGGGCUCGACGAGAGGAGGAGGAGAACAGGAGGAAGGCUGAGGAUGAGGCCCGGAAGAAGAAGGCUUUGUCC